This is a long non-coding RNA of Pseudophryne corroboree (corroboree frog), 533 nucleotides long. RefSeq lists it as uncharacterized. The record is from RefSeq and is a predicted model, not a curated record. The transcript has 2 exons. Lineage: Eukaryota; Metazoa; Chordata; Amphibia; Anura; Myobatrachidae.
GCCAGUCACAACGCAACGAAUGGCCUUUAAGUCUUGUCACCAAGACGUUCCCAAGCAAGGAUGGGAAGGUUCGUAAGGUUGAGGUCAAGAUCUGUAAGCGAGGAGAGACUAAGUUGUUCCUCAGACCAGUGACUGAACUAUUCUUAUUGUUAUCUGUUUAGAGUUUAAAAUAUGGUACCAGUGAUACCAGACGGGGAGUGUCAUGCCUUCAGCAUUUGCUUUGUGUAGAUCUGAUUACUUUUACUACAGAAAGUUGUAUUAUUGCCCCAUCUGGUGGUCAGUCCCAUCAAUUAAUUUGACCCUCAUAGCCUCUUGUAGCCAGUCUUGCAAUGCAUUCUGGGAUGAAGAAGCUGGGAUCAGCCUUUCUACUUCCCUCAUGGUCCCAGACAGUCAUGCUUUACAUGGGUCCAACUCUCAUAUAGCAUUCGAUGUUUUACCUCAUUAUCACACAUCAUCAUAUCGUAUUGUACAUCAAAUCAACGCAUCAUAUCUGUGAUCCCUUUACUGAAUAAUAAAACACCGUUCUACAAACA